CAAUAGCGUAUAUUAAAGUUGUUGCGGUUAAAAAGCUCGUAGUUGGAGUUCUGCCAGGUGCCGUCUGUCUGCCCCAGUGGUUUGCACGUGACGCGCAUGUGGCCCUCUCGAGGGGAGCGUUUCUGCACUUGAUUGUGUGGUAUGGGAUCCUUGACUUUUACUUUGAGGAAAUAAGAGUGUUCCAAGCAGGCACAUGUCGUGCAUAGCUCAGCAUGGAAUAAUAGCAUUGGACCUCGAUUCCCAGCUGUUGGUUGUCGGAGCGAGGUAAUGAUGAAGAGGGAUAAUCGGGGGCAUUCGUAUUUAACUGUCAGAGGUGAAAUUCUUGGAUUUGUUAAAGACGGACCACUGCGAAAGCAUCUGCCAUGGAUGUUUUCAUUGAUCAAGAACGAAAGUUAGGGGAUCGAAGAUGAUCAGAUACCGU
This 421-nucleotide ribosomal RNA is filed under the name uncultured eukaryote. RNAcentral describes it as "bacterial SSU rRNA". It matches the Rfam family "Eukaryotic small subunit ribosomal RNA", at positions 592 to 1018 of the family's 1831-position model. The record is from RNAcentral.